This 228-nucleotide ribosomal RNA is filed under the name uncultured Bacteroides sp. Its description in RNAcentral is "partial 16S ribosomal RNA". It matches the Rfam family "Bacterial small subunit ribosomal RNA", at positions 383 to 607 of the family's 1533-position model. The record is from RNAcentral. Lineage: Bacteria; Pseudomonadati; Bacteroidota; Bacteroidia; Bacteroidales; Bacteroidaceae.
CUGAACCAGCCAAGUAGCGUGAAGGAUGAAGGGUCCUACGGAUUGUAAACUUCUUUUAUACGGGAAUAAAGUAUCCUACGUGUAGGAUUUUGUAUGUACCGUAUGAAUAAGCAUCGGCUAACUCCGUGCCAGCAGCCGCGGUAAUACGGAGGAUGCGAGCGUUAUCCGGAUUUAUUGGGUUUAAAGGGAGCGCAGACGGGUCGUUAAGUCAGUUGUGAAAGUUUGCGG